GGCAUUCCUCUUCCGAGCGAUCUUUUUGCCAAAAAAGGGGCAAAAAAGAAUAGGCAAAAGAGAAGAAUGAAUAACCAAAACGAAUAUACUCCAGAAAAUAUAAGAACACGAAGUAAUAAGAACAAUUUUAAAAGUAUCAAUUUUUUAACAGCCAUUUAUACAUGAGAAAAAACAGUCUAAAAAGUAAUGAAUUUUUCAUCCUUGAUGGGCUCAAUUAAUCAACUAAAAUUGACUUACAUUAUUAACUAUCGGACAGUAUCCAUGAAUUACUCACUACUUCCAUAGUCCAGGUCUUGCCUCCUUAGCAGGAUGCUCAACUCGAACUAAGGAGUUGGGGACUUGUCACAGGAUCAAUAAUUUUAACUAGGAAAAGCUAAUGACACACAACGGACAAUGAUGGAAUAUGAAAAUUAGACCCUACCGUAAAAUAGACAAAUAGACUAAGAAAGAGGAAUCUUUAUCUCUUCUCUAAAUCUCUAUAAUUCUCUACUGGUUAGUGACUACUGACUCAAGCACCAAAGAUGGCAUUGGCUGGCAACUUCUUUUAUGCUUCAUCUCCAUUUUGCAAAUUUUUUUUCCUAGCAAAGAUGCCUCCUAGUCGACUAGGAAUUUUCACGAUCUAUCAUCA
RNAcentral lists this unclassified non-coding RNA (628 nucleotides) under Hevea brasiliensis (rubber tree). Lineage: Eukaryota; Viridiplantae; Streptophyta; Magnoliopsida; Malpighiales; Euphorbiaceae. The record is from RNAcentral.